GGUUGGGGGAAAUGGACAGCGAGCAGACAGGGUUUCUCCAGUCUGGAGAGUAGAAGCUGGCAUUAAACUAGAGUUACAGUUUGAGAUAACAUGCAACCAUUGCUUUGAUGUUAACUCACUUGUAUUUCUUUUGCCACUUUGAUUAAAUGCAUUUCUGAAUCAACAUCCUCAGUAAAAGUGAUUCAGUAGCGCAAAGGGAUAGAAUGGGAGCAACAAAGAGUCGGGAAGCCAAGCUAAGGAAUUCGAUUUGCUGACCCAUCUACACACAGACACACCUGCUAGACAGAGACCUCCUCAUCCUCUGAGACCCAUGCUAGGGCUGAAGCGAAGGGCUGAUUAGCAGUAGCUUCUUCAAGAUUUUGACAGGGAGGAUCAAGCAGCUAGGCUGAUACUCAGAAAACACGUUGGCGUUGAGUGGUAAGCAUAAAGUUUACAAGGAAGUGAGAAAGUUCCUGGUGACAGGACUUUUCAUCCAAGUUCUUGCCCCAAGUUGGGAAGAAACAGGAAGACAAGAAAGUGCCGAGGAUAGCUAGCUAUCUACCCCUCCUGGUAGAACCCUUGAAAGUACAAAAGAGGCAAAGGGAAUAAUUGGAGUUAGUACUGCCCUAUUCCACCCAGAGGAGGCUCCUCACAUGCUGGUGACCGGGCGAAAACAGCUAUAGAGGGAAAUCCUUUCAUAAGGAGAGAAGGGCAGGCUCUGAAUUGGGAUCUAUGCAAGCAUCAACCAAAAAGCCAGGCCAGUUUGAUACCAGCACUUCUUCUGGAGGAAGGAGGGAGGGGGACUGUAGUCCAAAGGGCAGAGACAAGCUGGAAAACUGUUUGCUGACAUAGGCAUUCAAGCGGGUCAGUUCUGGAUCUGGAAGAAAGAGAUAAGGUGUGUCAGAGGAAUUAGCUGUUUUUCUGACUCAACCCACAUUUCCAGGGCCCCACUUCUGCCCUUCAUUGAUAUGCCAAAAUGGCCCCAGACCAUUGGUCUGUCCUUGCCCCUCCUAAUUCACUCAUGUUGUUUAGAACAUUUGGAUAUUAAACAAGAAAAAGUCAAGAACUCACAAGGUCUACGGGAAGAAAAGGUGCUGAAGGAAACAAGAGAGAAAAAUUUCCACAGUCUAGAAAAAAGAACUUGGGAGUCGUUCCCCUUGACAAUUCAGGUAAAAAGAAGAAAAAGGGGUCAGUAUCAAAGGCCAAUCUAAUCAAUGGCUAGAGCUCACUCAAAUCGUGAGCAAGGAUCUCUUUGAAACACCCAUUUCUACACUUUUGAUGGCAUUGAUUGUUUUCUUUCCUCCUCAGCCUCAAUUUAAAAAACCAAACAAAAAGUUCCAAAACUUAUAAAAUAACUACAAUAUUGCAAGGGAAAAUAGCUUUGAAAUACUUCAGACCUCUGAUCAUUUCAGUGACCCAUAAGGAAGCCACAAAAACAAUGGUGAAACAUACUUCCCACCAAUUGGCAGAGAGGCACUGGAGUAGAGGUGCAGGGUAAGAUACAUUUUCUGAAAUGACCAAUGUAUGGAUCAGUUUUGCUUGACUAUACUUGCUACAAGGGAGGGUUUUUUUUUAAAUUUUAUGUUAGUGAGAGUCAUAGAAUAACGAAGUAAAUAGGAGUGUCAAAAAAUCAGAAAAGAAUAUUAAUGAAAUAUUUAUAAAACACACAAAUGAGAGCAAAAGGAAGUUCAGAAAGAGACAAAUAAGACAG
Molecule: long non-coding RNA, 1690 nt
Organism: Phascolarctos cinereus (koala)
Lineage: Eukaryota; Metazoa; Chordata; Mammalia; Diprotodontia; Phascolarctidae
Source: Ensembl